GGGUGCAUGGUCUAGUGGUAUGAUUUUCGCUUCGCAUUCACCAGAUGCGCCUUUGUGAAAGGUCCCCGGUUCGAUCCCGGGUGCAUCCA
This is a non-coding RNA of Chaetomidium leptoderma, 89 nucleotides long. Lineage: Eukaryota; Fungi; Ascomycota; Sordariomycetes; Sordariales; Chaetomiaceae. The record is from the annotation of a GenBank genome assembly.